Molecule: long non-coding RNA, 448 nt
Organism: Neogale vison (American mink)
Lineage: Eukaryota; Metazoa; Chordata; Mammalia; Carnivora; Mustelidae
Exons: 3
Source: RefSeq, a predicted model, not a curated record
ACUAAAGCCCAGAGGAAAUCCUGAAUGCUGCUCUAAUCACCUGUAUUGUUCAUUGAAUCAGCCUUGGAUGAUUUUGGUUAUUUUGGAUUUCAGUGGUUUCAGGGUCUUCCUGAACCUCCUUGAAGAAAAACUCAAUGAUGUCAGUGAUGGCCUGCCAAUGAACUCUGCUUCUGUCUCUCAUCAAUUUCUCAAGAUGUGAGGUGUGAUCAACGGCCAGCUCUUCUGGUAUCAAGCGUGGUUCUUCCCUCCACCGUUCAGGAAGGAUCCAAGUUACCCUUUCAAUCAAUUUAGACCAGAGAAGUUCUCUUUCCUGUCAUGAACAUACACCAGAUUCAGUUGGAAGAAACUUUUCAUUUGUUCCAUUAUAAGAAGCCUCUGGAUGAGGAUUAUGGGAAGGCACAGCGGCAGGAGGGAGAGGGCAGGACCCCAGAGACAGGAGAAGGUGGCU